AGCACUUCACACGUAUACAAGGCUGAGAGCAACAAAUAUCAUAGUCCCAUUGUAGAUCCAAGAGGAAAAGAAGGCAUGAAAGUGUUAAAAAGCCUGAUAAAGUCCUCACUUAGUAGUGGCCCAAAUCCUUAGUGGAUUGGAUUAUACUAGAAAGAACCAGUGACCCUCUUCAGCCAAUGUGUUUUGAGUCCUGAUGUGUGCCAGGCUCCUGGUUGUGAGCUAAGGACACAAAACUGAAUAAGCACCUUCUUUGCACUCAAAGGGCCCCUAAAUGACUUCUCUCUUCUCUGCUAAAUCUUUUUGUCUCUAAGUCUUGUGUGAUCAUGCUGUCACAUCAAGAUCUAGUCUAGUAGUUUCAUAAUGCCCCCUUCUCCCUGCACCACCAACCCUCCCCCCACACCCAGCUAAAGUCGCAGUGCUUUUUACUCGGAAAGCCAUGGAAAUGUGAAAGUUUACUGUUUUGCUCUCUCUGAUAAAAUAUAGCAUAAUAACUAGUUGCUGGGUUACUGCAUAAAACACAGGCCCCAAAUGUAGCCGGGAAGAAUAGUUAGCAAUUAAGUAAAGGAAAUGACUAGUGACUUUGAAACUCAACACACGGCCCAUGUACUUCUUAGCAAAGGAAGGCAUCUGGGUUACUUAGGCAACUUUUAUCACUAAGGAAGUAGUUUUGGUGACUCACACUCAUACAGAAGGACUGCUUUCAAAAUCUGUUAUUUGGUGCCUUUACCAUUAGGCUUCUGUUUUCCUUUAUCUUUGGACUGGGACAGAAAAAAGCUACAUUUGGAUGGCACGGGUUUAUUACUUAGUAGCAUAUGAUUCUCUGGCUGACCCAUGUUUUGAAAUGUAAUGGACCCGUGGUGAUCAGAGUAAAAGUAUGCUUGAAUGGCAACGUGGAGUUAGGAUAGCCAAACUUUGAGAUAAUGACUAAAUGCUCAUCUAUGCACCCAUCCACUCAAGGGACUUCUAAAAUUGCCAAGAAUGGCCAGUAGUCCCUGUACCGGCAAAUGAAAGAUUAUUCCAGACCUUGCUGUGAAAGAGAGGAGAAGGGAGCCAGGGCUGUGCUCAGAGGAGAUCAUGACCCGUGGAAAGAUGACCCGAACCUGUCAACCUGGAGCCAAUUUGAGGAUAUGGAGGCAAAGAGUCAAAACGGAAAGAAAGAAAGAGACUCUUCUGGAUUUUGUGCAGCUCUGUAAUUUAAACAGGAUUGAGCGUGGCAGCAGGCUGCCUGGUGUAUCAGAGUGGAUGCAAAGAUGGUAAACUGGAAGGAGGCCUGGAAAUGAGGGAAAUGGUCAAUGAGCAUCACUUGAGACAAAGCAAAGUGCGUGCGUGAGUGUGUGUGUGUGUGUGUGCGCGUGCUGUGUGUUUUAGCAAUGUUUAAAAAGGUUUUAUUAAAUUGGAGGCAUCCAGUUUAGGGGGCACCAGGGUGACAACAUCAGAAAAGCUUGCAACUCUUGAUCUCGGGUUCAAGCCCCACCUUGGGCCUAGACUUACUUAAAAAAAUAACAAAAAAAUAAAUUGGAAGCAUCAGGAUGAACUUGCAGCUUAAAAAAUUUUCCCUUCUAAAGCUGAACGAGUCUAGACUGCCCCUGGUCUUACUCUCUCUAAAGCUGGUUGUGUGGAACAUUGAAUGUUCUGUUACUCUUCCAGUAAAAGAAGGUUGGGGAGGGGUAACUGGUACCAAAUCGGGGGGGGGGGGCAAAUAUAAAAAUGAGCUUAGAAUAGGAAGGAAUAGCCAUGAAAUGUUUGCAAAAGAAGAGGAAUUCUGGGGGUUCCUAGUAGGUGUGAAAAUGUAUUUCCAAGUUCCACUGUUUGCCAGUGUGAUUCGCCAACAGGAGCAGCAGACACACCCCAAGAAGGGCUGGCCCCCAUGAGGACGAACCUGCCUUAGAAUAUAGUAUGUGAACAAGGAAGUAUUACAAACCACUGUGGAAGGCGAAUCUAGGUAUUUGCAGAAUAGUUGGGUUUAAAACCUCUUCUUGCAUACCAAUCAAAAUAGAUUAAAAAAAUGAAGCAUAAAAGAAGAGAACAUACAGCUGAAUGUAACUCAUUUUUUCCCCAAGUAUAGGACUUCCUAGGCUUAAAAAGACAUUGGAUAAUCACACAGGAAAAUUGUGUAUAUUUGACUGCAGAAAAUUAAAUACGUUUGUGUCAUAAAAUAUUAUAAACCAAAUCCAGUGGAAACUGAUGAAUAGAGAGACAUUUUUACAACACACAUGGCUGACAGCUUUAUAGCCACAAAAAAAACACA
Lutra lutra (Eurasian river otter) is the source of this 2248-nucleotide long non-coding RNA. RefSeq lists it as uncharacterized. Lineage: Eukaryota; Metazoa; Chordata; Mammalia; Carnivora; Mustelidae. The record is from RefSeq and is a predicted model, not a curated record. The transcript is spliced from 3 exons.